Molecule: long non-coding RNA, 407 nt
Filed under: Salmo salar (Atlantic salmon)
Lineage: Eukaryota; Metazoa; Chordata; Actinopteri; Salmoniformes; Salmonidae
Description: lncRNA (ENSSSAG00000118324.1)
Source: RNAcentral
GGGAGCGCACUUACUAAUUUUGCUUUCCUAUUGAACAUACUACUUUCCGUAUGAAAUAUUAUAGUUUAUUUACAUUUUAGAGUACAUCAGGAUUAAAUAGAAAUGUUGUUUGACUUGUUUGGACGAAGUUUAGCGGUAGCUUUUUGGACUUCUUUGUCUGCAUGUUGAACGAGUGCAUUACUCAAAUCGAUGACGCCAACUAAACAGACUUUUUGGGAUAUAAAGAAGGAUUUUAUCUAACAAAACGACCAUUCAUGUUGUAGCAGGGACCCUUGGGAUUGCAAACAGAGGAAGAAUUUCAAAUGGAGGAAGUGGACGUGUGCGGUGUCUGGAAAAAAAAUGAAGAAUUUGUCUACAAGUCACUUCCCAUGAAAUAUGUGGACAGGAGAUAACACUGUUGGCUGGAG